Long non-coding RNA from Cryptomeria japonica (Japanese cedar), 1356 nucleotides. RefSeq lists it as uncharacterized. NCBI's taxonomy places the organism in Eukaryota, Viridiplantae, Streptophyta, Pinopsida, Cupressales, Cupressaceae. The record is from RefSeq and is a predicted model, not a curated record. The transcript has 4 exons.
AUUUUGAUUCCCCAAUCUCCGCUUUAAAAUGUCGUUAUGCUUCGUCCUUCUCUUCAUCUCUUGUGGUUUCCCAAAUCCAGAUGUUAAAGUUCGUUAUUUUGAGAGUGGAGCAGCUCGGAUCAUUUCAUUUCUUGUAAAUGUAUAAUCACUUCUUGCCGCCCUCUUUGAUUGAUUGAUUCAAUUGGGCAAUGUGUAAACAGAAAUUUGGGUUCUAUAAGUGUGAUUUAGCCGCCUUCCUUGAUUGAUGGAUUAGAUCACUUGGGUAUUGUUAUAAAUAAGAUUUUGGGUAUUAGAAAGCCUAUCACCAUUCCCUUCCUUUGAUUGAUGGAUUCACUUGGGUAUUGUCCUAAAUAGAAUUUUAGGUCAUGUAAGUGUGUAUUAUAUUGCUUGGAUUAAUGGAUUCACUUCGGUAUUGUCUUAAAUAGAAUUUUAGGUCAUUCAAGUCUAUUGUAUCACUUCAUUUCUAGGAAAUUUAGAGCCAUUUCCUUCCUUGCUUCGAUUGAUGGGAUUCACUUGCAUAUUGUCCUAAACAGAAUUUUAGGUCAUUUAAGUUUGUAUGACCUCAGUUUUAGUAAACCUUCUCCUUUGAUUGAUUGGCUUACUUGGGCAAUCUUGUAAAUAAAAAUUUGGGCUGCUUGAGUGCCAGUUAGGUCUUCAAACUGAAUAUAUUGGGGUUGCGGUGGUAAUGUUUUUUUCGUAUUAAAGGAUGGCCUGAUCAAGUAGAUGACAUUGGAGAUAUUGUCGCCUGCAAGAAGAUCAACUAAGGUUUUAUUACAUACGGUGAUUGGUGAAAGGGAUAUUGGGACGGUUCAAUCUGAAAACAUGAUUACAAAACGAUUGUAAUGUGAUCUCUGAUUGAGCCGCGCCAAUAUCACUUGUAUAUCAUCACAGCAAUCAGAAACAGGUUUCCAAAGCAACGAGGAUUCUCACCGUCACAUACGGCCAUAUUCAGGCUACUUUAGAUUUACUGUUACUCUCUUGGCUAGUCAGGAUUAAUGCAACAAAAGUGGAAUAGACAAGGAUCUAGAUUGGAAGAGAUAGUGAUACGGCAAAUCAUAACAAAGUUCUUAGCUUAGUACUUUUCCAUCCUCGAAUGAUUAAGGAGCGAGUCAGCAGUUGGUAAAUUGGAUUCCAGCAUUGUCAUGAGAGAUCACCCAAGGUAUGUCAAAAGAUCUUUUAAAAAGGUGAAACUUUAAAUGAAUGCUGAUCUACGGCUGCCUUUAUCUGUACAUGUAAGUCAAUCUUGAAAUUGGCGGCAUAAAAGAGUUGAACCUAUUAGCAAUUUGGUUGACAAUAUAUCUUUUGUAUAGUUCACUCCAUUUAUCAACUUGUAUUCUCAUUUUUCAAUAAUGUGUA